This 7108-nucleotide long non-coding RNA is filed under the name Manihot esculenta (cassava). RNAcentral's name for it is "long non-coding RNA (MESC_LNC008855)". The record is from RNAcentral. Lineage: Eukaryota; Viridiplantae; Streptophyta; Magnoliopsida; Malpighiales; Euphorbiaceae.
UAAAGGCGAUAAAAAUAAAAAAUGUAAGUUCUUUUAUCACAACGUAAAAGUAUUUAAUGAUAGCAUGCUCGCCUCGAGGCAUUUCCACGUAAAAGUGUUAAUUCACUCGAAAUCAUACACAUUCAAACAUUUAAAAAAUGUACUGGUCAACUCUCAGAAUGCAAAACUUCAAAUAGUUGAAUGAAAGUAGGUUACGAGCUUCCAUUUCAAAGCCUGCCAACAUUAUAUAAGUGAACUCGGCCUGGAAGCCCCACAUGGUUCUGACUCGACAUGGCAACAGCAACAAAUUAAAAUUAAAGACCGCUCACUUAUUGACAUUUACCAUGCAACAUGUUUGACAAAUUAAUAUACAUUCACAAGACAGGUGACCAGACACUUAAAUAGCCAUAGCAGACAUGCUAUAAGGAAAGCAAAAUUGGAAACCAACAUAGGUGCCAAUAUCUUGUAGAAAAUUUGAUAACAGAUAUUGAAUAGAUUUCCACUUUACAGAAAGUGACACUUCAGGGCAUUUCACAAGAAAAAUGAAAAUAAAAAAUAAUGAUAUUAAAUUGUUUUGGCAUAGUUACAAUCACUUUACUUUAUCAUUCAACAGCCUCAACUAUAAAAUAAAAAAAAAGGAACGAGAAGGAAAAUGAAAAGACACAGUCAAGCAAAUGAUACCACUAAUGCAAACUCCUGAGAAUUUUCAUAAUUAUAAGAAGUAAGCAGAAUAUACCAUAACUAACAACAUUCGGAGCAUCAUGUGGGCCAAAACACUAAAGAACACUUAAAAUAUAUAAAUUAUCAGAUACCUGAUGACUUGCACUUGUGCCUUUAUAAUUAGUGUGUCAGAAGCAUCUAAAAACCCAUCUGACACUUUUGAUAGUUCCAUGAAUUUUUUCCAUCCCCAGUCAUGCUCUUUCUUCCAGAAACGAUGUAAUGUAUCUGCAAAUUUUGCAUUUAUUCACUUAUUCAAAUAAUAUAUCAACAGCUCAUUAUGUAACUAGGAUAUUAUUCAACCAACCUACCUGAAUAUUUUGAUUUUUUUGGGUCUUUAUUCACCACAGCUAUUGUAAACUGGGCAAAAUGACUCCAACCUGGCUCCCAGUCAAAACAGAAAAGUACAUAAUUACACCAGAAAGAAUGAAGGAAUGCAAUUUUCAAACUUAUUAAUUAAUAUCAAACCUGGAAGAAGUUUGUCAUGGUUGGCAACACAAAGAAACAAAGAGAGAUGAUUGCAAACAUCACAGCCUUGGGGAUAUAUUAAUAUGUACCUGCAAUCCAAGGCAAAAGGCAGCAUUUCCACGUAACAGUGACUUUCAGCAAGCAAGGUGCAUAAUGCCAAUAAAAUAACAGAAUGCAUGAGAAAACAAACACAUGCAAAGCCAUACCAUUUGUAGCCGCCGACCUCAAAUGCAUUACUACGAAGUUCUCUUUUGUUAAUCUGUGAAAACUUCUCUAUCUUCCAUGUGUAUUUUCCAUACAACUCAGAAGGUUUUGGCCCUACAAUUGAGAAAAAUUAGUUCACAACAAAUUAACGAAAAUUCCUCUAUCUUCCAUGUUUUCCAUACAACUCAGAAGGUUUUGUCCCUAAAGUAAAGUAAAAUCAAUUCACAACAACUUAAACAAAUAUCACUGUAACAGAAAGGAGCAUACUAGCGUCCAUUUGUCAAUAUCUUCAAUUUUAUCAUGUUAUAUUGCAAGUUUGCAAGCAUUUAUGCUGAAAGUGUUACAGGUUACACAUUUUAGAUGUACAACUAUACAACUUAACUCAAUUAAACGUUAAUCCCAAUACCAAAUGUUGGAGGAAAUGCAAAAAAAUAAAAUAAAAUAAAUAAUAAAAUUUACUUGGCUGUUGGUACACCAACUAUAAGAUUUUCGAAAAAGGUUUUACCCAUUCCUCAUUAAAAUUCCCUACAAAAGAAAUUGUACGUUAACCCAUUUCAGUGAAUGCAAGUCUCUCUGUAAGAAUGGCACAACCGCAAGUUUGAAGUGGAAGAGAAUGAAGUUCAUUGGUAAAGUUUUCAACCGAACAACAUUUUAAAUUUUUUACAUAUCCAAUAUGUAAGAUAAGGAGCUCAAUUUCUAUCAUCCUGACAUCCCAGUGUAGUUGGGUUUAACCAUAUCAAGGUUGGAUCACCCUCUUUUCCUUACAUCUCCAACAUUUUUCACACACUUCUAGCUUUCAUGCUGAAAGAUUACAUUAGUUGUAAAGAACAUAUUAACUGGAAAGGAAAAGCAAAAUCAGAGAGGAGAGGGAGCAUACCUCCAUCAUCGUCAUCAUCAGUGUCCCAGUAAGGGGGUGAAGUUGAUGGGGUUCCAUUUUCCACCUGCUCAGAUGACCGCCAUUCUGCCAAUGCUUCACCUGAUUGGCAGCGUUGACCACUAGAAAUCCCCUCUGUAGACCUUGCAACUCCAGCUUCCUCACUUGAAAUCCCAGCCAUUUCCCACUCCAAAACUCCUUCCCCACAAUCCUUCCAACUCCACUCACUGCAUAACAAGAAGCACUCAUAAGAGAUAAACAAAAUUAGCCAUUGCUUAUCAAGUUACAUGGCAAGAAACAUCAUACAAAUUUCAUAAACAUAACCAUUUAGUAAAACAUAGCAAGUUAAAUGGCAAGAAACAUCAUACGAAUUUCAUAAACAUAACCAUUUAGUAAAACAUAGCUCUUGAAAAUUAAUUUGAAUGACAAUAAACAUUUGAGCACUUCAAAGGAUUAUUUUCACCUUUUUCUUUUGAAAAACGAUAAUAAAUCCUCAAAUCAAAGCAUACUAACUAAACUGCUUCAAGUGAAGAUCCACAAAAAAAAAAACAAACAAUAUUUAGAAGAACAUGAGCGGAAUGGCGAAUAAACUUUGCAUUUCUCAAUUAUAUAUCACUGGGGAACUCAAGAAACGAGAAACCAUCACUUCACAGAAUUUUAAACAACCAUUCAGCUUAGAGACUUGGAUUCCCAAACACCAAAACAUCAUCGGGUGCAUUCAUGUUAACUCUUUAAUUCUCAAUCCCACGAUUUGCCAGGCAUACAAACAGACCCAACAUACACAAUCCUCAAAUUCAAAAACCCACAUCCAAAAACCAAUUUGCAAUAAAUCCCAAUCUCUCAAUAAAAUACAAAGAAAAAAACUCAAGCGAAAAAAAUAAAACUGAUUGGGAAAAAAGUGUAAAUAAAAAUAAAACGCGUUUUAAAAAAAAAAUAGCAAUCCAUAUACCCUAUGGCAUUAAACGCACGCUAGUUAAAACCCUUCACAAUCCCGAACCAGAAACUUGAGAUCGAAUUCACAAGAAAAAUCCCAAAACCCCCGAUCAAGCCGAACCCUAAAACACAGAGCAAAAACGUACAAAAAACCCCCCCAAAAAAAUAUAUAGAGAGAAAAGAGACAAAAAGAGGAAUUGGGAACGACAACGUUCAGAUCGAAUGGAGAUACAAACCUGAGCUUUGUGAAAUGGGUUAUGGGCAAGCUCUGAGAUUCUAGAGAGAGAAAGAGACGAUAGAUAGAGAGAGAGGUCCAAGGAGCAGCAAAAGAAAUAAAAGAAGAAGAGACCAAAGGCAGAGCCCAAAAAAAAAGAAUUUUAUUUUUUUGAUGUUAUUUAGGUUUUAAUUAAUUAAUUAAUUAACGAUUUGUCAUUUUACUAAAUACUAGAAAAACCUAAGUUUUAUUUGGGAGAAGAUACAGCGCGAGCGAGCAAGGAAGAGAUACAGAGAGAGAAAGAAGAGAGGUGGCGUGGCCACUGGCUUGCUUGUGUUGCUCCUCCACUCCUCUAAUCUCUCAAAACAAUAGAAUUAAAAAAAAAUAAAAUUAAAUAAAUAAAGAUAAAUGAGCAGUGAAUAUAGGAAAAAAUCAGAAAAUAAAUAAAAGAGCAUAAUAAAAGAGUGAAAGGUGUGGUAUGGUGUGGUGAGGCACACACAGGGUCGGUGGAGGUGGACAGAUGUCGAAGAGCAGGACAAGUGGAGAGAGAUGGCAGGUGUCAUUUCUUUGGUUUUUUAUAUUUUAUUUUUAUUUAGGAAGGCGUUGUUUAGGGUUUGCACACUGCCCUGAAUCUGAUAGUAUGGUUGGCCAAUUGGGCACGCCCGUUCAAUGGGUGGAUAAGGCCUUCUUUUUUUUGGGCUCAGCUUCUGAUGGCUAUGGGCUGAAUUAGGUUGAUUCAACAAGUGAGAAUUUAAAAUUUUUAAUACUAGUAUAAUUUUGAAAUUUUAGGAGGCCAGGCAAAAAAAGGUCGUGAUUCUGAACUUCCAUUUGGUGGAUUUUGAACUUCCGGGAAGAAAGGGCCACUUAAACAUUUCCGGCCAAUCGAUCAUAUUAGUAUAUUACCAUUGCAUAUUAUAUUUAUUCUCUCUUUUUAUAAUAUAACAAAAAUAAUAAUGUAUAUUAUUAUUUCACACAAAAUCUCUAAAUAGUUUAUUAUAUUCUCUUUUUUGAUAUACUGAUUUGAGCGUUAAAAUGACUGUUGUGCCAUUAUCUCGCCUUCUCUUCUUUAUCGAUCCAGCGAAUCACUGUAUAAUUUAAUUUCGGCCAUAUCAUUAAUCUAAUAUCUGCAAUAUUAUUUAAUUUUUUUUGCUGAAAAAUCUUUUAAAUAAUCCAUUCAUUUAAAUUAUGAUCAAUUUCCUACACUUUUUCUCAUAAAAAAAUCACUAUGAUAAAGAAAAAAUAUAUGUGAUGAAAUGUAUGAAGGAUUUAGUUUUUGUCCAACAAAAAAUAAUUUAGCGAUGGAAAAAGCGAUGGAUUUGAGAUAAAUAAUGCAUCACCGAAAUUUCCGAUUUCUAAUGGGUGGGGGUAAGUGAGUAAUUAGUGAUAGAAAAAAUAUUGUCGCUAAUCGAUAAAGAACUUUUAAAAAAACCCUCAAAAUAGCCUAAAUAUCUCUUUCUCACUUUUUCAUUUUCAGCCAUCAGUCCUCUUUUCCCUUCCCCACAUAAGUCACUCACUGAAGCUUCUCUUUCGCUCGUCGGUGACAUCGAAAUUGCAUCGAUCGAAAACAACUGCGACAUUAUCGAUGAUACGGAUCUUCAACAGCAACUUUCAAAUGUGCUUUACCAGCAAAGGCAUCACCAUUGCAGCAACCCUUUAUGUGUCACCACCGUGAACUACCGCACGCUGCCGCCAUAUCUCUAUCUUACUGUCGCCACUGUUGUGUAUCCUGAGCCACGAUUUGAGUAACUAAAAUCCAUAGGGUGUCUAGAUGAUGCAACUGGAUAGAGGCUAAAUUGAAUGGGUUGACCGUUGAUCCAUGAUUGGAUCCAUUAGGUCGCUCUAUAUUUGAUCUUGAGAAAAGAGACUUGUAAGAUAAGAAAAGAGAGUCCACCAGAAAUUUAUUAAUAUAAAGGGAAAAUAAAUAAAGUAUUCAAAAGAAUUUCCAGAGAGCAUGUAUUUUGGGAGUUCUUCUAUAAGUAUUUUUUAGAGAGAUUAACUUUCUAGAGAGAUUGACCUAUGAGAGAAAGAGAAAAUUCUGAAAGCUCGAGAGAAUUUCACUAAGAACCUGUUGAGAGAGGUUGGUUUAGGGAUAUUUAUACAUUGAUUCCCUACUUUACGUUCCAUAAAUUUGGACGAAGGUAUAUCAGACGACUGUUAGUUAUCUAAUUAUUGCAAAACCGAUUUGCCUAUAUCCUAUUGAAUAGUCUUUUUGCACGUGUAUUUAAUAUUUCUAUUUAAUAUUUCGAAGAGAGUUAGUGGAACCGAUGGUUACCGAUGGUUGGUGUAUUGCUCUGAAAAUUCAUAUGGUGACGUUAUCAACCUUAGAUUGAUACAAGCUACCCAAUAAAUCAACACUAAAAGAUAUUAACAGGAGAAGAAAUAAUGUGUUACAUUGAGAACAAAAUUCCUAAUCCAUAAAAGUAUUUACUUUAAUUCAUUCUAGUAGCAAUGAAGCAAAAUCACUCUACAAUCUUAAUUAAUGAAUUACAAUUCAAACAUAUGGGAAAACCCAUUACUUCACUUAACAUAAUCCGCACACUAAUACAGGAAUGAAAAGACUAACCUACCGCUUGUAAUAGCAUGGCAUUGAAGUUUAAUACUUGUAAACAAAGCCAACAAAGUUGAUAAAGAUUUACAUACUGCAUGAGCUAAAGUGCCGAAUAGCUAAAAGGUCAUUCUACAGCUGAAAUGCAACACAAGUAAAUACUGACUGGUAGUAACAUUUAUUUAAUUGCAUCAGACAACUUAAACCCAGUAUAUAACUGGAUCCCUCCACUAGCCACCAAUGUAUAUAAGUAGAAUCUAUCACAAAGAGUUCAGCAUAAAUACUGAUGUCCUAACCCAACCCACCUUUGUACGAUUCUGUAGCCCCUUUUCGUCUUUUGGAGGUAAUGGUUCCAUGGCAGCCCCCUCAAGCAGUAGCAGAACAUCAUCCACCAAUACAAACAUAUCUUUCUCCACACGAACAAUUGGAGCUGGCAUUUCUUCAGUGUCCAACAAUUUCACCCUUCCCUUCUUGCUCUUAGUUUGGCCUUCAAGAGCCUUCAAUCCACUAUACAAGGAAUCCAUUACCAAAGUAGAUGUGACCUCCUUCGCUAUAAAGAAAUGCUUUACAACUACUUUCAGAAUUACAUCAGUUUCGCCCUAGACAUUCGGCGGCGAGCAUUUGGAUCCAUUCCCAACCAGAAAGCACGAAAGCUGCAAAAUUUGAAAUUGCCCGUCAUCUAGUUACUCUAUAUGCUAACCAGAAUAAUAAAUCCAGCCUCCUAAGCACGGCCAGAUUUUCAAACCACAGUCAAAGAAAGUAGAAGACAAUAUCAUAGAAUAACCACAGAAACACAAAGAUUUCUUCAUGUGGCAUGUAGAAUAGAUGGAAUUAGUAAUAAUUGUUCAAACAUUUGAACGAUUUCAAAUUAAAAGAUACAAUACCUUGACCGUCUGCCAACAUUAUAUAAGUGAACUCGGCCUGGAAGGCCCACAUGGUUCUGACUCGGCAUGGCAACAGCAACAAUUCAAAAUUAAAGACCGCUCACUUAUUGACAUUUACCAUGCAACAUGUUUGACAAAUUAAUAUACAUUCACAAGACAGGUGACCAGACACUUAAAUGGCCAUAGCAGACAUGAUAUAAGGAAAGCAAAAUUGAAACCAACAUAGGUGCCAAUAUCUUGUAGUAAUUUUGAUAACAGAUAUUGAAUUGAUCUCCACUUUACAGAAAGUG